RNAcentral lists this long non-coding RNA (459 nucleotides) under Populus tremula. RNAcentral's name for it is "long non-coding RNA (PTRE_LNC000382)". Lineage: Eukaryota; Viridiplantae; Streptophyta; Magnoliopsida; Malpighiales; Salicaceae. The record is from RNAcentral.
UCCAGCCACCAGAUCGGCCAUCGCAGAAGGAAAACCAACCGAAGGACAGUAGAAGGGAGCAGGAAAUCGAGACUUGAAAGGCUCGCCGAUCUCCCAACCGUGGCUGCGGUGGGCGACACCGCCGGUGUAGAAAUGAAGGAGGAAGAUGGAAGUUGUCGAUCCUGCCAUCCACAUGCCUGACCUGUCAUCGGCAGCGCGUGUAACGCCCAGCUUCAGAUUCGGCAGAUUUGAAGAAAAUAGAGGAGAAGCAGAUCCGAAAACAUGGAUUGAAAAAUAACUAAAAUCAACUGGCUUUGUGCUUUGAUUUUUCUUUGCAGGUCACCACCGGUGGAAGAGGGGAUGAUGCUGUUAAAGACCCCUGUGUUUGUGUGGAAUUUUUGCAGCGGCGCGUGAACCCACGCGCCGCCAGUGACGGUGGCGCAUGGAAGAGACGCGCCGCCACUGUUUUCACACCCAGAA